RNAcentral lists this ribosomal RNA (253 nucleotides) under uncultured bacterium. RNAcentral describes it as "partial 16S ribosomal RNA". It matches the Rfam family "Bacterial small subunit ribosomal RNA", at positions 524 to 776 of the family's 1533-position model. The record is from RNAcentral.
UACGAAGGGGGCUAGCGUUGCUCGGAAUUACUGGGCGUAAAGCGCACGUAGGCGGAUUGUUAAGUCGGGGGUGAAAUCCUGGAGCUCAACUCCAGAACUGCCCUCGAAACUGGCGAUCUUGAGUUCGGGAGAGGUGAGUGGAACUGCGAGUGUAGAGGUGAAAUUCGUAGAUAUUCGCAAGAACACCAGUGGCGAAGGCGGCUCACUGGCCCGAUACUGACGCUGAGGCACGAAAGCGUGGGGAGCAAACAGG